RNAcentral lists this ribosomal RNA (684 nucleotides) under uncultured bacterium. RNAcentral describes it as "bacterial SSU rRNA". It matches the Rfam family "Bacterial small subunit ribosomal RNA", at positions 9 to 676 of the family's 1533-position model. The record is from RNAcentral.
GAGUUUGAUCCUGGCUCAGGAUGAACGCUAGCGACAGGCUUAACACAUGCAAGUCGAGGGGCAGCGGGGCGGCAGGCUUGCCUGCCGCCGCCGGCGACCGGCGCACGGGUGAGUAACACGUAUGCAACCUGCCCGUGGCAGGGGGAUAAGCGGGGGAAACCCCGUCUAAUACCGCGUAACGCGGCCUAGGGACAUCCCAAGGCCGCCAAAGGGAGCAAUCCCGGCCACGGAUGGGCAUGCGGCGCAUUAGCUAGUCGGCGGGGUAACGGCCCACCGAGGCGACGAUGCGUAGGGGUUCUGAGAGGAAGGCCCCCCACACUGGUACUGAGACACGGACCAGACUCCUACGGGAGGCAGCAGUGAGGAAUAUUGGUCAAUGGGCGCGAGCCUGAACCAGCCAAGUCGCGUGAGGGAGGACGGCCCUACGGGUUGUAAACCUCUUUUGCCGGGGAGCAACGGGCGCCACGUGUGGCGCCACUGAGAGUACCCGGAGAAAAAGCAUCGGCUAACUCCGUGCCAGCAGCCGCGGUAAUACGGAGGAUGCGAGCGUUAUCCGGAUUUAUUGGGUUUAAAGGGUGCGUAGGCGGAUCGUUAAGUCAGUGGUCAAAUUGAGGGGCUCAACCCCUUCCCGCCAUUGAAACUGGCGAUCUUGAGUGGAAGAGAAGUAUGCGGAAUGCGUGGUGU